Molecule: ribosomal RNA, 550 nt
Filed under: uncultured Bacillus sp.
Lineage: Bacteria; Bacillati; Bacillota; Bacilli; Caryophanales; Bacillaceae
Description: bacterial SSU rRNA
Rfam family: Bacterial small subunit ribosomal RNA
Source: RNAcentral
UAGGGAAUCUUCCACAAUGGACGAAAGUCUGAUGGAGCAACGCCGCGUGAGCGAUGAAGGCCUUCGGGUCGUAAAGCUCUGUUGUUAGGGAAGAACAAGUACCGGAGUAACUGCCGGUACCUUGACGGUACCUAACCAGAAAGCCACGGCUAACUACGUGCCAGCAGCCGAGGUAAUACGUAGGUGGCAAGCGUUGUCCGGAAUUAUUGGGCGUAAAGCGCGCGCAGGCGGUCCUUUAAGUCUGAUGUGAAAGCCCACGGCUCAACCGUGGAGGGUCAUUGGAAACUGGGGGACUUGAGUGCAGAAGAGGAAAGCGGAAUUCCACGUGUAGCGGUGAAAUGCGUAGAGAUGUGGAGGAACACCAGUGGCGAAGGCGGCUUUCUGGUCUGUAACUGACGCUGAGGCGCGAAAGCGUGGGGAGCAAACAGGAUUAGAUACCCUGGUAGUCCACGCCGUAAACGAUGAGUGCUAAGUGUUAGAGGGUUUCCGCCCUUUAGUGCUGCAGCUAACGCAUUAAGCACUCCGCCUGGGGAGUACGGCCGCAAGGCUG